RNAcentral lists this ribosomal RNA (467 nucleotides) under uncultured bacterium. RNAcentral's name for it is "partial 16S ribosomal RNA". It matches the Rfam family "Bacterial small subunit ribosomal RNA", at positions 28 to 507 of the family's 1533-position model. The record is from RNAcentral.
GACGAACGCUGGCGGCGUGCUUAACACAUGCAAGUCGAACGGAAAGGCCCUGCUUUUGUGGGGUGCUCGAGUGGCGAACGGGUGAGUAACACGUGAGUAACCUGCCCUUGACUUUGGGAUAACUUCAGGAAACUGGGGCUAAUACCGGAUAGGAGCUCCUGCUGCAUGGUGGGGGUUGGAAAGUUUCGGCGGUUGGGGAUGGACUCGCGGCUUAUCAGCUUGUUGGUGGGGUAGUGGCUUACCAAGGCUUUGACGGGUAGCCGGCCUGAGAGGGUGACCGGCCACUUGGGGACUGAGAUACGGCCCAGACUCCUACGGGAGGCAGCGGGGGGGAAUAUGGCACAUGGGCGGAAGCCUGAUGCAGCAACGCCGCGUGCGGGAUGACGGCCUUCGGGUUGUAAACCGCUUUCGCCUGUGACGAAGCGUGAGUGACGGUAAUGGGUAAAGAAGCACCGGCUAACUACGUG